Molecule: ribosomal RNA, 243 nt
Filed under: uncultured bacterium
Lineage: Bacteria
Description: partial 16S ribosomal RNA
Rfam family: Bacterial small subunit ribosomal RNA
Source: RNAcentral
UACGGAGGGUGCAAGCGUUGUCCGGAAUCACUGGGCGUAAAGGGCGCGUAGGCGGCUCAUGAAGGCUGUGGUGAAAGUCCGGGGCUCAACCUCGGAUCGGCCGUGGCGACUCGUGGGCUGGAGCACCUGUAGAGGCGGGUGGAAUUCCGGGUGUAGCGGUGGAAUGCGUAGAGAUCCGGAAGAACACCAGUGGCGAAGGCGGCCCGCUGGGCAGUGGCUGACGCUGAGGCGCGACAGCGUGGG